RNAcentral lists this transfer RNA (89 nucleotides) under Felis catus (domestic cat). It matches the Rfam family "tRNA". Rfam says of the family: Transfer RNA (tRNA) molecules are approximately 80 nucleotides in length. Their secondary structure includes four short double-helical elements and three loops (D, anti-codon, and T loops). Further hydrogen bonds mediate the characteristic L-shaped molecular structure. tRNAs have two regions of fundamental functional importance: the anti-codon, which is responsible for specific mRNA codon recognition, and the 3' end, to which the tRNAs corresponding amino acid is attached (by aminoacyl-tRNA synthetases). tRNAs cope with the degeneracy of the genetic code in two manners: having more than one tRNA (with a specific anti-codon) for a particular amino acid; and 'wobble' base-pairing, i.e. permitting non-standard base-pairing at the 3rd anti-codon position. RNAcentral also lists the same sequence under 3 other names. The record is from Rfam by way of RNAcentral. Lineage: Eukaryota; Metazoa; Chordata; Mammalia; Carnivora; Felidae.
ACCUGGGUGGCUCAGUCGGUUGAGCAUCUGACCUUGGCUCAGGUCAUGCAUGAUCUUGCAGUUCGUGGGUUCGAGCCCCGCAUCGGGCU